Molecule: signal recognition particle RNA, 282 nt
Filed under: Papio anubis (olive baboon)
Lineage: Eukaryota; Metazoa; Chordata; Mammalia; Primates; Cercopithecidae
Description: Metazoan signal recognition particle RNA (ENSPANG00000049432.1)
Rfam family: Metazoan signal recognition particle RNA
About the family: The signal recognition particle (SRP) is a universally conserved ribonucleoprotein. It is involved in the co-translational targeting of proteins to membranes.
Source: Rfam by way of RNAcentral
UGGUGCCUAUGUGGGGGUACCAGUAGUCCCAUCUACUAGUAAGACUAAGGCAGGAGGAUCACUGGAGCCUAGGAGUUUUGGGAUGUAGUGCACUAUGCUGAUUGGGUGUCCUCACUAAGUUCUGCCUCAAUAUGGUGACGUUCUGGGAGUGGGGACCACUAGGCUGCCCAAGGAGGGAUAACUGGCCCAGGUUGGAAACAGAGCAACUCAAAACUCCCGUGCUAAUCAGUAGUGGUAUAUCCUGUGCUAAUCAUCAGUCGUGGGCUAUCUUGUGCCAAUCAU